Molecule: long non-coding RNA, 1318 nt
Filed under: Gallus gallus (chicken)
Lineage: Eukaryota; Metazoa; Chordata; Aves; Galliformes; Phasianidae
Description: lncRNA (ENSGALG00010027034.1)
Source: RNAcentral
UGAUGAGGCAGUGGGGACCCUCAAAGGCCGGGCAGCAUCCGAUGAGGCUGUCACACAGACAAGGCCUACUCCUGUACUGGAAGCAAUGCAGCCCCCUCUGUGGGGCACCACAUCGGCACUGGUAGGACGCACAGCUCUGCUGGUCUGAAUCUACAUGCAUCUCAUUCUUCAUUAACUCGUCUGCUUAACCCUCCUCAUUUUUGUCCAUGCUUAUGUAUGAAUGAUUUUUGUAAAAAUCUUACACAUCUGUAAUAUCAUGAGAAAUAAAGAUGAUGCUAUGUUCACAAAAUGCUUACUCAUUCUCUACUGAUGCUCGGGUAGAAUUAUCAGCUUAUAUUCAUUUUAUUUAUUGCUAAUUUUUUAGCAGUGGCACCACCUUGUGGACACUGCUACAUGAAAUGAGAAGCUGCCUAACAUCAACAACAGCAACUAAACCAGAACAGUCAAUUCUGGGGAAAAAAAAAAAAGAUCAAGCAAAGCAAACUACAAAUUCGAUUCCUAGGAAUCAAGAUAUGAAAUAAAAUUUACAAUAAAUACUGGCCUGAAUGUAAAUAGUUGUCUUCUUGGCUCUUUUCUCCUGAGCAUCAAACAAGAAGAGUGGUAGUUUCCAAAAAUAUUUUUGUUCCCUCUUGAGACAGAGCUGAGUUAACUGAAUAAAUACACACAGUUAACAAGCUUCUCUGGGGCUGCUUGCCUGACAUCUCAGGUCACUUUCAGGAAAAAAAGAGGUCUAGCAUUAGAGAAAACCAAAUCAAGCCAUACUGGGAAGUAAACCAGCACAGCAAAGGCAGAACAGACCACCAGUCAGGGAAGCAAACUCAUCUCCGGUAGAGUUUGCAGACCUUACCCUAGAGCUGAGAUUUGGGGACAGGUUACAUGGAUUUCUCAGCUACGUUGUUUUCUAUUCCUAUGGUUGUGCACCCUCAGUAAAUGAGAUAAAUAAGCACUAUUCCCAUCCUCUCCUGCAUAGGUUUGGAAGCAGAGGGAUCAGGACAGCCAAGGCAUUGACAUGGGCUCUGAAGAACCUGUUGGCUGAAAAUAAUCCAAUUUAUAUUUACUGCAAGUCUAGUGUUACAAUGAACUCAGUCCAUCAAAUUACUUCUCAUCUCCAGCAGGGUGCCUUUUCUCUUGGUUAGAGGGAAUAUGAAGGGCAAAAAGAUUUCCAAAGAAGGAGGGUCUGGUAAUUCUCAACAGUGCAAAUUAGUUCUCAGCAUCUUCAAGAUGGAAAAAACACAGGUAAACAUUCACAUCCCUAUGAGGCUGAUCUAAAAAAUAUCGUUCAACAUAAAUCCUUUUGUCUAAUAAAAAUACAUUUCUG